Molecule: ribosomal RNA, 465 nt
Filed under: uncultured bacterium
Lineage: Bacteria
Description: bacterial SSU rRNA
Rfam family: Bacterial small subunit ribosomal RNA
Source: RNAcentral
CCUACGGGUCGCACCAGAGGGGAAUAUUGCACAAUGGGCGCAAGCCUGAUGCAGCCAUGCCGCGUGUAUGAAGAAGGCCUUCGGGUUGUAAAGUACUUUCAGCGGGGAGGAAGGUGUUGUGGUUAAUAACCGCAGCAAUUGACGUUACCCGCAGAAGAAGCACCGGCUAACUCCGUGCCAGCAGCCGCGGUAAUACGGAGGGUGCAAGCGUUAAUCGGAAUUACUGGGCGUAAAGCGCACGCAGGCGGUCUGUCAAGUCGGAUGUGAAAUCCCCGGGCUCAACCUGGGAACUGCAUUCGAAACUGGCAGGCUAGAGUCUUGUAGAGGGGGGUAGAAUUCCAGGUGUAGCGGUGAAAUGCGUAGAGAUCUGGAGGAAUACCGGUGGCGAAGGCGGCACCCUGGACAACGACUGACGCUCAGGUGCGAAAGCGUGGGGAGCAAACAGGAUUAGAUACCCUCGUAGUC